Molecule: ribosomal RNA, 506 nt
Filed under: uncultured bacterium
Lineage: Bacteria
Description: partial 16S ribosomal RNA
Rfam family: Bacterial small subunit ribosomal RNA
Source: RNAcentral
AGUGAACGCUGGCGGUAGGCCUAACACAUGCAAGUCGAACGGCAGCACAGGAGAGCUUGCUCUCUGGGUGGCGAGUGGCGGACGGGUGGGGAAUACAUCGGAAUCUACUCCGUCGUGGGGGAUAACGUAGGGAAACUUACGCUAAUACCGCAUACGACCUACGGGUGAAAGCAGGGGACCUUCGGGCCUCGCGCGAUUGAAUGAGCCGAUGUCGGAUUAGCUAGUUGGCGGGGUAAAGGCCCACCAAGGCGACGAUCCGUAGCUGGUCUGAGAGGAUGAUCAGCCACACUGGAACUGAGACCCGGUCCAGACUCCUACGGGAGGCAGCAGUGGGGAAUAUUGGACAAUGGGCGCAAGCCUGAUCCAGCCAUACCGCGUGGGUGAAGAAGGCCUUCGGGUUGUAAAGCCCUUUUGUUGGGAAAGAAAUCCAGCUGGCUAAUACCCGGUUGGGAUGACGGUACCCAAAGAAUAAGCACCGGCUAACUUCGUGCCAGCCGCCGCGGUAA